UCCCCCUCCCCCAGGCUACAAGCCAGUUUUGCUAGAGAAACAUUGCUGCAUGAAGUAGCCGCAAACUACGAUCUAUGUGAAGCCGUGUCAUUGUGUUCUUUCCUUUGAGUAGACGUGCUGUCAGAUCAUUAAUUCUAUCGUGUAUUUGUUAUUAGACGAAAAGAAUGGGUGAUUGUGAAGAUAAAACGGAUUAUGCAGUGUGUGCCAUUAUAUUAGCGUCGCAGGAAAAAGAAGAGGAAAACAAAUGGCGUAGAAAGCGGGGGCCUACCAGAAGAUGGAGAAAAAGGCGAGCACAAAAAGGAGCCUUCUUAAAUUUAAAUCAGGAGUUGAGAGGCGAGGAUCCAACUUCAUACAAGAGGUGGCUGCGUGUAACAGAAGAACAGUUUGACCAUCUUUUGCACGAAAUCUCUCCCCGAAUUCAGAAGCAAAAGACAAAGUUUGGGGAGCCAAUAUCUGCAGCUGAGAGGCUCACCAUUACGCUCCGGUAUCUAGCCACAGGAAAUACAUUCAGAGACUUAUCGUGGGAGUUUCGAAUUGGCGAAAGAACCGUAUCAUAUAUCAUCUUGGAAACAUGUGCAGCUUUGUAUGAAUUCUUGAAGUACACAUUUGAAGUGCCAACAUCAAAAGAGCAUUGGAGAGCUGUUUCCAAGCAAUUUCUAGAUCGGUGGAAUGUGCCACAUUGUUUGGGGGCCAUUGAUGGAAAACAUAUUGUGAUAAGGAAGCCGAUCAACAGUGGUUCCCAUUACCAGAAUUAUAAAGGAACAGAAUCUAUUGUCCUUUUAGCAGUUGUGGAUGCUAAUUAUAAAUUUCGGUACGUUGAAGUGCAGUAGGUAAGAAUUAAUUUAAUUAUACCAAGGGCUUAAAGCAUGUUCUUCAUUUUGAUUUUCUAGAUAUAUUGAUGUUGGCACACAAGGAAGGAUCAGCGAUGGAGGUGUGUGGAACAAAUGUAAUUUAAAAGAGCUUAUAGAUGUUAACACUCUUGACAUGCCCCCAGCCCAUCCACUUCCAGGUCAAGACAUACCCACUCCAUACGUCUUCUUAGCAGAUAACGCUUUUGGAUUAAAACCAUAUAUCCUCAAGCCGUACGGGGGAAAUGAUUUGACUCUGGAAGAACGGAUAUGCAAUUACAGAAUUUCACGUGGCCGCCAAGUUGUGGAGACAGCUUUUGGAAGUUUUGCUAAUAGAUUAAGAGUAUUUCUAAAUCCCAUCCUGCUACAGCCAGACAAAGUGCGCACAUUAGUACUUGCUGGUUGUGCACUUCACAACUUUUUAAGGAGCCAUGAAAGCACAGAAUCAUGGCCAGUCAAUUAUGUGGACAGAGAAGAUGUGGAAACUGGAACCACUUUGCCUGGUGCCUGGAGGACUGAGAUUCCUAUACAGCCCGGAACAGAUCUGCAUCUUCCACAAGUGGCCACCACCUACUCCAAUUAUUACAGCACAGAGGCCAAAGCUGUGAGGGAGAAUUUUAAAGCAUUUUUUACAUCUGAUGUUGGUGCGGUGUACUGGCAACAUCGUUUUGUAUAGCAGUUAUUUUAUAUAUUUUUUAAUGUAACUGUACAUAUUGAUAAUAAAACAAACCUUUAUUAAACAUAA
Anolis sagrei ordinatus is the source of this 1593-nucleotide non-coding RNA. The record is from RefSeq and is a predicted model, not a curated record. NCBI's taxonomy places the organism in Eukaryota, Metazoa, Chordata, Lepidosauria, Squamata, Anolidae.